ACAGCAGUAGCCGCGGUAAUACGUAGGGUGCAAGCGUUAAUCGGAAUUACUGGGCGUAAAGCGUGCGCAGGCGGUUAUAUAAGACAGAUGUGAAAUCCCCGGGCUCAACCUGGGAACUGCAUUUGUGACUGUAUAGCUAGAGUACGGCAGAGGGGGAUGGAAUUCCGCGUGUAGCAGUGAAAUGCGUAGAUAUGCGGAGGAACACCGAUGGCGAAGGCAAUCCCCUGGGCCUGUACUGACGCUCAUGCACGAAAGCGUGGGGAGCAAACAGGAUUAGAGACCCCUGUAGUCCCUGUCUCUUAUAC
This 305-nucleotide ribosomal RNA is filed under the name uncultured bacterium. RNAcentral's name for it is "partial 16S ribosomal RNA". It matches the Rfam family "Bacterial small subunit ribosomal RNA", at positions 506 to 807 of the family's 1533-position model. The record is from RNAcentral.